RNAcentral lists this small RNA (52 nucleotides) under Bacteroidales bacterium Barb4. RNAcentral's name for it is "Acido-Lenti-1 RNA". It matches the Rfam family "Acido-Lenti-1 RNA". The record is from Rfam by way of RNAcentral. Lineage: Bacteria; Pseudomonadati; Bacteroidota; Bacteroidia; Bacteroidales.
CCCGACGUGCUUCGCUUUACGUCGGGCUGAAAUCUUUCGUCCCUUCGGGACG